AAGUCGUAACAAGGUUUCCGUAGGUGAGUGGACGAGAGUUCCCUUCGCGCCGCGCGUUUCCCCUGCUAACCUUUGUGACCUAGGUGAACCUGCGGAAGGAUCAUUACUGGGUAAAGGCCUCGCGCCUCCAACCCCACCCUCCGUAACCGCGGCCCGGAUUCGGCGCUCGGCGGGGACACCCUCUGUUCGCGGAGAGGACCCCGCCUGCCGGAAUCAGCCAACCCUUUGUAAACUGCAGUCUGAGAACAAGUUAAAUUAAACAAAACUUUCAACAACGGAUCUCUUGGUUCUG
Molecule: unclassified non-coding RNA, 292 nt
Filed under: Venturiaceae sp.
Lineage: Eukaryota; Fungi; Ascomycota; Dothideomycetes; Venturiales; Venturiaceae
Description: partial contains small subunit ribosomal RNA, internal transcribed spacer 1, and 5.8S ribosomal RNA
Source: RNAcentral